RNAcentral lists this long non-coding RNA (806 nucleotides) under Malus domestica (apple). Its description in RNAcentral is "long non-coding RNA (MDOM_LNC008602)". Lineage: Eukaryota; Viridiplantae; Streptophyta; Magnoliopsida; Rosales; Rosaceae. The record is from RNAcentral.
GAAAAUUCGGCCAAAUCCAAAGGGUGGAUUUUUGGGUUCAUGUUUGACUUGUUAAAAGUGUUUUCAAGUAACUUUUUGAGUUUUUCAUGAAUGUUCUUCAUUGUUCUUGAUAUUUUAGCCAAGAACAAAAAGUUUGGUGUUUUGAUUCAAAGUUUUGAUUUAUUUCAUAAAGUUUUUGUUUUGUGCUUUUCAAAUGUUUAAAUGUGUUAGAUAUUUAUUUAGAAAGGUGAUAGAAAUAUUGAUGGGUGUGUAAGGAUUAAUUCCCUUUCACACACCACUUGCAUGACUUUUGUGUCAUGCACCUCUUACAUGACUUUAUGUCAAAACUACAAAUCAACACACACAUCACUCCCUUUAAUAUCUAAAACCGGCCACCCUAUUAAAAUAGGGUACUUUUGUGUAUUUGCACUUUGGCCCAAAAGUUUACAUUUUUACAUAAAGGCCCAAAAUCAUUAAAGGACAAAUUGUUUUGUUCCUUUAAUGAAGUUUUUGAAUUUGUUGAAAUUUUUGGGUUCUAGUUGUAAUUACAUGAAGUAGUGAACUUUUGUGUUUUUACAAAGUGAGCUCAAAAGUUUAAGUUUUGCAACAUAGCCCAAAAGUUGAGGUUAUUGCAUUUUGGCCCAAAUUAGGUUGAGAACAAAAUGGUUUUGUCUCUUAAAAUGAGAAUUGGAUUUUCAUUUCAUUUAGCUCCAUUUAAAUCAAUUCUAUGGAAACAAAAACCAAAUGAAAAAAAAUUGUUGCAUUCAAGUUUAAUUAGUUAAAGCGUUAAUUAAUUAAAGGGUGAUUAUGAACCUAAGCCUACGAUA